GGAUGAUAGAUUACAUUUGUUUAGUGUAGUGUUUACUUUUGCAGCUGUUGUGUUUAUAGAACAAAAAUUAUUAAAAUUAGUGAAUAGUGAAGUGAAUAUCUAUAUUUUUAAGACGACUCCCAUGCCUGGAACUUGCAAAUCGCACCUUUUAGCACAUCAACACCGGGACCUAAGGCUUUUCGUUUCGAGGAAGGCGUGAUCAAACAUUUUCCGUUCUAACUCAUGCUAAUAGGGCCGAUCAGAAUCCCGGCAUACUAUCAACAUAGUAUGGUAUAACACUGAAUCAACAAUUUGACGCCAAAUACACGGUUCGAGGCCGCAUCUCUCCAUCCUCGAAUGCACCCACGCUCGCCAAGUCGUUUUGCACCUGGUCUGCACACCUUGCUCGCUGUGCUCGACGCCGUCUAGUGCCUGACAGAUAGGAAGCAAACACCAUCCUUUCUAAACAACUUAAC
This is a long non-coding RNA of Armigeres subalbatus, 455 nucleotides long. RefSeq lists it as uncharacterized. NCBI's taxonomy places the organism in Eukaryota, Metazoa, Arthropoda, Insecta, Diptera, Culicidae. The record is from RefSeq and is a predicted model, not a curated record. The transcript is spliced from 3 exons.